CAGUCGCCACGGUAUUACGGAGGGUGCAAGCGUUAAUCGGAAUUACUGGGCGUAAAGCGCACGCAGGCGGUCUGACAAGUCAGAUGUGAAAUCCCCGGGCUUAACCUGGGAACUGCAUUUGAAACUGUCAGGCUGGAGUCUUGUAGAGGGGGGUGGAAUUCCAGGUGUAGCGGUGAAAUGCGUAGAGAUCUGGAGGAAUACCGGUGGCGAAGGCGGCCCCCUGGACAAAGACUGACGCUCAGGUGCGAAAGCGUGGGGAGCAAACAGGAUUAGAUACCCCUGUAGUCCCUGUCUCUUAUAC
Molecule: ribosomal RNA, 301 nt
Filed under: uncultured bacterium
Lineage: Bacteria
Description: partial 16S ribosomal RNA
Rfam family: Bacterial small subunit ribosomal RNA
Source: RNAcentral